UACAGAGACCUCAAGCAUUAUCCGGAUUUAUUGGGCGUAAAGGGUCCGCAGGUGGCUUUUCACGUCGUUGGUUAAAUGUUAGGGCUCAACUCUAACACCGCCAACGAUACGGAUUAGCUCGAGCAUGGGAGAGGUACGCGGAAUUACAGGUGUAGUAGUAAAAUGCGUCAAUAUCUGUAAGAACACCAAAUGCGAAGGCAGCGUACUGGAACAUUGCUGACACUCAGGGACGAAAGCGUGGGGAGCGAAAGGG
This 253-nucleotide ribosomal RNA is filed under the name uncultured bacterium. Its description in RNAcentral is "partial 16S ribosomal RNA". It matches the Rfam family "Bacterial small subunit ribosomal RNA", at positions 524 to 776 of the family's 1533-position model. The record is from RNAcentral.